UUCCCCCCAUAUCAGGGCCAUUUAUUUUCUCAACACAGGCACUGGGGAGGAAAGGGAGGAAAAUUAAAGCAUUGCAAAAAACCCCAUUAUUGCAUGGCACCACAAAGGAAAAAUCGGUUAAAUUUUGCCUCCCUAGUUCCCCAAACCUGACUCUGGCCCCUUACACAUGAUGGAGGUGAACAAGGCAAAGUUGGGAGUAGCUUCAAGCUGGGGCAGCUUGUGAACUGAGCACAGGGACAAUCAGGGGUGGUUCAAGCGCAGGCAGCUUCACCCCGUGCCAUGGCCAACCCCCAGCACUCCUUUCUCCUCGCCAGGAGGGCAGCAUGGCCACAGCAGCCACGCAAAACCCCCAUGCUGACACUGGCCAGAACUUCAUCUCUUGGUGCUGAAGAGACAAAAACCCCUCAGGAGGCAAUGAGUGAGACACCACAGGCUGUGGUCAUGAAGACUUUUGGAGGACUAGAUGAGAUCUCUGAGGUGAGAUCACCUUCCUGUGACCCAUCAGUCCUUCCCCCUCUCUCUCCCCGUGGAAAAAAAGGUGCAAAGUGAAAAUAUUUUAAUUUCUUCUUGGGAAAGCAAAGCUCUAGUGCCUGCUCCUAGCUGUGGAAGAAACACAAAAUGAGUUGAUCCCUGCUUUCCAGGGAAGGCAAUGAGGGGGCUUUUUUAGGGGGAUUAUUUGCUUUCCUCCCCUGAAUAAUGUAAGAUUUUGAAGUUAGGAUUAUAGAAACAAGCUGAUUGUUUCACUUGUAAGUUGUUUUGUUGUUUUUGUUGUUUUUGGGGUUUUUUUGGUUGGUUUUGGUUUGGUUUUUUGUGUUUUGGUUUGGUUUGGUUUUUGUGUGGGUGUGUGUGUAUUCAGGAGAAAAUGCAGUCUCAUGUGCAAUCCUUAAGGAAGGUGUUGGCAGAAUUUCUGGACUGGAGAGAGAGUGAAGAGAAGAGAAGAGACACCAGGACUACCUGAUACAGGUUCUACGGCAGUCUGAAUGAGCCUUUGGGUAUUUAUUUUUCCCCAAGCCCCUCUUGAAGAAAUGGGUGGGAUCAUAUCCAAGAGGCAUCCUGGCACCCUGUAAAGCCCUACAUCCAGCUGGAGUGGUUGGCGCAGAUCCUGGGCAGGUUUGGCAAGCACCACCUCCAUGUGCAGCUGCUUAUUAUCCACACUUUAAAUCAAUGUCAUGGUGCUGCUCAUUUUCAUCCCAGACUGAGUCACAAAGGGACAUGUGUUAACAUGGAAUUAACACUCCCCCCUGGUUCUCAGGACCUGGAUUGGUUUUGGACAGAAUAUAGAGAGGAAUGGCAAAAAGGGAGGGAAAAGGAGAAUCAUGGGGUUGUGGUGGUUUGACCGAAAAAUGGGAAUUCUAGAAUGCUGUAGUCAAACCAAUGGGUGCUCAGAUUUUAAUAUUGGCACCUGGUGUGGCCAUUGGGACAUUUGGACAUGCCUCUGAGAACACAGGGGUUAAAAAGCAGAGCUGCUGCUCCGAGAGGCUCCGGAGGCAAAGAGGUUGGAUCUCCCUGCCUUGUUCAGCUGCUGCUGCUGGGCGGGGAAGGGGCAGCCAUGCGGUAGGCCUGGGGCUGGACAGAGAUGGCGGGUGAGAGGCCCUUGAGGAUGGAAGGGUGGAGGAGCCCCAGGAGGCAUCGGGCAGCCCCCCCCACCCCCCUCACCCCAUGGGAGAGAGAGAGAGAGCCAGCGUCUAAAUUUGAUAUCAGCCUGCCGAGGAGGAGAAGGGGGAGUGCAGCGAGAAGGUGCCUGGCAGGGCAGCAUGGGAGUUCCAAAGCUCUGGGACAGGCAGAGACUGAGAUAUUUAACCCUUUUCUUGCAUGAUAGAAAUCUUGCAAAUGCUGAUCCUCCUGGAGCUGAAUGAGAAGAGAGAUAAGAGGGGAUGGGCCACUAGGGAAGUGGAGAAGACUUUUGAGUGGGGGAAGAGAUGACAGAGUGGCCUUUUGGCUGGACUUUUCUUGUGUGGCCAUAGACUGAACCAUUUUUUUUUCCCUGUGACACAGAGGCUGCAUUUAGGGGAAGGCAAUGGCUCAGAACCAAGGGAGCGCAGUGAUGUUAUGUGUAAGAGUGCACGAACAGAGACAACAGGUGAGGAGCGUGGUUGGUUCUCUCACUUCAGUGGAAGAGAAGAUCUCUGUUUUUGAGACCCCUCAGCCCCAGGGGGUGAAAUUUGUGGGGGACAGGUGUCCCAAAAGUGAGAGACUGUGCUCUUUGUUAGAACUGGGCAAAGCAUCCUUAAAGGGGAACCCUAGAAGCAGCUCUGGUCCAUGUGCAGUGGUGAGAGCACUGAGGAUGAAAGGAAGAUGUCACGACGACAAAGGCUUUCCUGAGCGGUGCCACCUGUGACGGGAAACACAAAAGGUCUCAAUGGUGUUUCUGGGGGAAUCCUAUGGCACAAGAAGGACUCCUCACUCUUGAUAAACUGAAGAUUGAGUAUUCUAAAGGGUGGUGCCGGACUGAGAGUUGGUGAUUUGGGAGAUGUAUUGUAUUGGGAAAUUUGGUGGGGGGAGGAGGAAAAUGCUUUUGUAAGGUUUUCAUUUUCCUUGUGUGUUUUUUUUUUUUUUUCCUGUCCUUGUAGUUUAGUUAUUUUCUUGUAGUUUAGUUAAUAAAGUUUUCUUUAUUUCUAAGUA
Molecule: long non-coding RNA, 2622 nt
Organism: Melospiza melodia melodia
Lineage: Eukaryota; Metazoa; Chordata; Aves; Passeriformes; Passerellidae
Exons: 2
Source: RefSeq, a predicted model, not a curated record